AUUGAACGCUGGCGGCAGGCCUAACACAUGCAAGUCGAGCGAGCGGCGGACGGGGGAGUAAUGUCUGGGAAACUGCCUGAUGGAGGGGGAUAACUACUGGAAACGGUAGCUAAUACCGCAUACCCUCAGAUGUGCCCAGAUGGGAUUAGCUAGUAGGUGGGGUAAUGGCUCACCUAGGCGACGAUCCCUCGCUGGUCUGAGAGGAUGACCAGCCACACUGGAACUGAGACACGGUCCAGACUCCUACGGGAGGCAGCAGUGGGGAAUAUUGCACAAUGGGCGCAAGCCUGAUGUAGCCAUGCCGCGUGUGUGAAGAAGGCCUUCGGGUUGUAAAGUACUUUCAGCGGGGAGGCGUUACCCGCAGAAGAAGCACCGGCUAACUCCGUGCCAGCAGCCGCGGUAAUUC
RNAcentral lists this ribosomal RNA (406 nucleotides) under uncultured bacterium. RNAcentral describes it as "partial 16S ribosomal RNA". It matches the Rfam family "Bacterial small subunit ribosomal RNA", at positions 30 to 526 of the family's 1533-position model. The record is from RNAcentral.